UGGGGAAUUUUGGACAAUGGGCGAAAGCCUGAUCCAGCAAUGCCGCGUGUGUGAAGAAGGCCUUCGGGUUGUAAAGCACUUUUGUCCGGAAAGAAAUCCUUGGCUCUAAUACAGUCGGGGGAUGACGGUACCGGAAGAAUAAGCACCGGCUAACUACGUGCCAGCAGCCGCGGUAAUACGUAGGGUGCAAGCGUUAAUCGGAAUUACUGGGCGUAAAGCGUGCGCAGGCGGUUUGCUAAGACCGAUGUGAAAUCCCCGGGCUCAACCUGGGAACUGCAUUGGUGACUGGCAGGGCUAGAGUAUGGCAGAGGGGGGUAGAAUUCCACGUGUAGCAGUGAAAUGCGUAGAGAUGUGGAGGAAUACCGAUGGCGAAGGCAGCCCCCCUGGGCCAAUACUGACGCUCAUGCACGAAAGGCGUGGGGGAGCAAACAGGAUUUAGAUACCCCUGGUAGUCCACGCCCUAAACGAUGUCAACUAGUUGUUGGGGAUUCAUUUUCCUUAGUAACGUAGCUAACGCGUGAAGUUGACCGCCUGGGGAGUACGGUCGCAAGAUUAAAACUCAAAGGAAUUGACGGGGUCAUAGCUGUUU
This 589-nucleotide ribosomal RNA is filed under the name uncultured bacterium. Its description in RNAcentral is "partial 16S ribosomal RNA". It matches the Rfam family "Bacterial small subunit ribosomal RNA", at positions 355 to 935 of the family's 1533-position model. The record is from RNAcentral.